CCUACGGGUGGCAGCAGUGGGGAAUAUUGCACAAUGGGGGAAACCCUGAUGCAGCGACGCCGCGUGAGUGAAGAAGUCUUUCGGUCUGUAAAGCUCUAUCAGCAGGGAAGAAAAAAGACGGUACCUGACUAAGCAGCCCCGGCUAACUACGUGCCAGCAGCCGCGGUCAUACGUAGGGGGAAAGCGUUAUCCGGAUUUACAGGGUGUAAGGGGAGCGUAGACGGGUAUAAAAGUCGGAAGUGAAAUACCCGGGCUCAACCUGGGAACUGCAUUGGAUACUGGAUGGCUGGAGUGCUGGAGAGGUAAGCGGAAUUCGUGGUGUAGCGGUGAAAUGCGUAGAUAUUAGGAGGAACACCAGUGGCGAAGGCGGCUUACUGGACAGUAACUGACGUUGAGGCUCGAAAGCGUGGGGAGCAAACAGGAUUAGAUACCCUUGUAGUC
This 441-nucleotide ribosomal RNA is filed under the name uncultured bacterium. Its description in RNAcentral is "partial 16S ribosomal RNA". It matches the Rfam family "Bacterial small subunit ribosomal RNA", at positions 338 to 795 of the family's 1533-position model. The record is from RNAcentral.